CGUGGGGCCAGCUGUAGGGCAUUAGCCAAUCCCGGUGUUCUCCUCCCUCUGCACUCCCAGGUCUCCCAGAACACUUCCCUCACAGAGCACCCCUGUCUUCCCAGCACUCAGGAGGCUGAGGCAGGACGAUUGCUGCUAGUUGGAUGCCAGCCUGAGCCCAGGGUGCUCCCGGGACCGCUGAGGCCCACCAGGACCUAUAACCCAGGCCACAGAGCCAGGGCACCCGGGAAGCUCCCUGGAGCAUGCCGGACCGGGCACGUGGACCCCCAUCCCAGGGACACAGGGCCAGAGCCACACCUCCGCCUCCUCCCAGGGGCGAGCCCAGGACGCGCCAGCGCGGCUGCCCAGCAGGGACGCCGGGCUCUCCCCUUCCGGUCCCCACAGCUGCCCUCUGCGCCUGCGCCAAGUGGGCCGGAACUGCGCGCCACUGCGCAGGCGCGAGACGCUGCUGGGAGGUGCCAGUCCGCGUCCCCUGGUCCCCUUGGCGCGCACGGGAACCCCUGCACCCCUGAAACCUCGGUCUUUUCGCUUUGUGGCUUUUUGGUUUUUGGAGCAUCCAGGCUGGCCUUAAACAACAACAAAUAAAUUUUCUCCAGGACCCUUUCGGCUGUGGGCCACCGACCCGGUGACUUUUUGGUUUGUUCUGUACGGGGAAUCGAACUCAGGACCUUGUGCUUGCGAGGCACGCCGGAUAACUUCGGAGGUCAGGCUUGUUCUUGUUCAUUUUGGGCGCUGACGCCCAACCCUGGACUUUUACACUGCGCUGCGUCCCUACACCUUUUUUUUUUUUUUUUUUUUUUUUUUUUUUUUGAGGCAGCAUCUCCCCCAAGUCGUUAAACUGCUCAUGCGGGGCUCCAGCCGGCCAGCCUCCUGCCUCAGCCUCCCAGAGUGCUGGGGUCACAGACGAGCUCCAGAACUGCAGGUGCACACGGAGAUCUUCUAGCAUCUGGCAGCAGCCCUGCGCCGGCCGCCCAAGCCCCCUCUGCUCCCCGCACCGCCGCUGAACAAUUAUUUCUCCUUUUAAAAGCGUUCUCUGGGGCCGGGGAUGUGGCUCAGUGGUUCCGCUGCCUGCUUCGCAAGGGCAAGGUCCUGAGUUCGAUCCCCGGUACCAAAAAUAAUAAUAAUAAUAAUAAUACCAAGAGAUUCCAGAGCCCAGGGAGAGAUCAGGUAGGCUCCGCUGGGGUGAAGGCUUCUAACAGGGCUCACAAAGCAAUCCUUGCAAGGGAAGCAGGGCGUGGCGGCACGCAGCCUGGGCUACAUAGACCCCGACUCAAAAAAUAACCCUCCCGCAAAACUCCUCGCAGGAAGCAGCCGGGGUUCCUGGGAACAGUGGGCAGAGAGCCAGGGGAGGGGCAGCUCCAGAUGACCCUUACCAAAGUCUAGGGACUUGCAAAUUAAGGCCUUGCAGCCCCAGAGACUCAGGAUCGCUCAGUCCCCAACCUGCCCCACCCUCCAGGGGCUGCAACUCUCAUUAGAAAAAUGUUUAUGUCCUGAUUCCAGGUUCUCUGUGGAUCCCCAGCUCCUGCCUCUCCAGAUCCAGCCUGAGACCUCGCUGAGCAGGCCUUGGCAGUGCAUUGCUUAUCCAGAGAGGAGCACAGUGGUUCCCGAGGGCGGGAUCCCCCUCAGCUUGGCCUGCGGGCCCUCGGAACUCGGGGGAGCCCUCAGCACUGUGCGCUGGAGGUGAAGGAAGCUGGUGACGGGAGCGGCUGGAAGGACCCGGGAGGCCCUGGCAGCGGCGGCAUGGAGGGCCCAGGGGUCGGGAUGGGGUGAGCUGAGCCACCACACCAUGCUCAGUCGUCAGCCAUGGUCUUGGGGGGACUCAGACCCUGGCUCUGACUGUUUCCCCAUGUGUCAAGUGGAUUGAUUUUUUUUUUUGGCACAGGAGAUCACUCUCAGGUCCUUGUGCUUGCGAGGCAGGUGAUGGCACCACUGAGCUAAAUCCCCCGCCCCUAUCAAUUUGUUUGUUUGUUUGUUUUUUGAGACAAAGGUUUCACUGUAAUUCAGGCCAGCCUUGAAAUCACAGUUGUCCUCCUGCCUCAGCCUCCUGAGUUCUGGGAUUAUAAACAGGCACUACCAUGCCCCCUCCUUUUCUGUCUUGUUUGCCUUCUGCAGUUAUUUGAUCUUGUGGCCCCU
Molecule: long non-coding RNA, 2133 nt
Organism: Fukomys damarensis (Damara mole-rat)
Lineage: Eukaryota; Metazoa; Chordata; Mammalia; Rodentia; Bathyergidae
Source: Ensembl